RNAcentral lists this ribosomal RNA (141 nucleotides) under uncultured bacterium. RNAcentral describes it as "partial 16S ribosomal RNA". It matches the Rfam family "Bacterial small subunit ribosomal RNA", at positions 335 to 473 of the family's 1533-position model. The record is from RNAcentral.
ACUCCUACGGGAGGCAGCAGUGAGGAAUAUUGGUCAAUGGGCGAGAGCCUGAACCAGCCAAGUCGCGUGAGGGAAGACUGCCCUAUGGGUUGUAAACCUCUUUAGUAUGGGAGCAAAAAGCGUCACGUGUGAUGUAUUGAG